Molecule: ribosomal RNA, 1541 nt
Filed under: Klebsiella variicola
Lineage: Bacteria; Pseudomonadati; Pseudomonadota; Gammaproteobacteria; Enterobacterales; Enterobacteriaceae
Description: bacterial SSU rRNA
Rfam family: Bacterial small subunit ribosomal RNA
Source: RNAcentral
AAAUUGAAGAGUUUGAUCAUGGCUCAGAUUGAACGCUGGCGGCAGGCCUAACACAUGCAAGUCGAGCGGUAGCACAGAGAGCUUGCUCUCGGGUGACGAGCGGCGGACGGGUGAGUAAUGUCUGGGAAACUGCCUGAUGGAGGGGGAUAACUACUGGAAACGGUAGCUAAUACCGCAUAACGUCGCAAGACCAAAGUGGGGGACCUUCGGGCCUCAUGCCAUCAGAUGUGCCCAGAUGGGAUUAGCUGGUAGGUGGGGUAACGGCUCACCUAGGCGACGAUCCCUAGCUGGUCUGAGAGGAUGACCAGCCACACUGGAACUGAGACACGGUCCAGACUCCUACGGGAGGCAGCAGUGGGGAAUAUUGCACAAUGGGCGCAAGCCUGAUGCAGCCAUGCCGCGUGUGUGAAGAAGGCCUUCGGGUUGUAAAGCACUUUCAGCGGGGAGGAAGGCGGUGAGGUUAAUAACCUCAUCGAUUGACGUUACCCGCAGAAGAAGCACCGGCUAACUCCGUGCCAGCAGCCGCGGUAAUACGGAGGGUGCAAGCGUUAAUCGGAAUUACUGGGCGUAAAAAGCGCACGCAGGCGGUCUGUCAAGUCGGAUGUGAAAUCCCCGGGCUCAACCUGGGAACUGCAUUCGAAACUGGCAGGCUAGAGUCUUGUAGAGGGGGUAGAAUUCCAGGUGUAGCGGUGAAAUGCGUAGAGAUCUGGAGGAAUACCGGUGGCGAAGGCGGCCCCCUGGACAAAGACUGACGCUCAGGUGCGAAAGCGUGGGGAGCAAACAGGAUUAGAUACCCUGGUAGUCCACGCUGUAAACGAUGUCGAUUUGGAGGUUGUGCCCUUGAGGCGUGGCUUCCGGAGCUAACGCGUUAAAUCGACCGCCUGGGGAGUACGGCCGCAAGGUUAAAACUCAAAUGAAUUGACGGGGGCCCGCACAAGCGGUGGAGCAUGUGGUUUAAUUCGAUGCAACGCGAAGAACCUUACCUGGUCUUGACAUCCACAGAACUUAGCAGAGAUGCUUUGGUGCCUUCGGGAACUGUGAGACAGGUGCUGCAUGGCUGUCGUCAGCUCGUGUUGUGAAAUGUUGGGUUAAGUCCCGCAACGAGCGCAACCCUUAUCCUUUGUUGCCAGCGGUUAGGCCGGGAACUCAAAGGAGACUGCCAGUGAUAAACUGGAGGAAGGUGGGGAUGACGUCAAGUCAUCAUGGCCCUUACGACCAGGGCUACACACGUGCUACAAUGGCAUAUACAAAGAGAAGCGACCUCGCGAGAGCAAGCGGACCUCAUAAAGUAUGUCGUAGUCCGGAUUGGAGUCUGCAACUCGACUCCAUGAAGUCGGAAUCGCUAGUAAUCGUAGAUCAGAAUGCUACGGUGAAUACGUUCCCGGGCCUUGUACACACCGCCCGUCACACCAUGGGAGUGGGUUGCAAAAGAAGUAGGUAGCUUAACCUUCGGGAGGGCGCUUACCACUUUGUGAUUCAUGACUGGGGUGAAGUCGUAACAAGGUAACCGUAGGGGAACCUGCGGUUGGAUCACCUCCUUA